UACGUAGGGUGCAGGCGUUAAUCGGAAUUACUGGGCGUAAAGCGUGCGCAGGCGGUUUGCUAAGAGAGAUGUGAAAUCCCCGGGCUUAACCUGGGAACUGCGUUUCUAACUGGCAGGCUUGAGUGUGGCAGAGGGGGGUGGAAUUCCACGUGUAGCAGUGAAAUGACGUAGAGAUGUGGAGGAACACCGAUGGCGAAGGCAGCCCCCUGGGCUAACACUGACGCUCAUGCACGAAAGCGUGGGGAGCAAACAGG
RNAcentral lists this ribosomal RNA (254 nucleotides) under uncultured bacterium. RNAcentral describes it as "partial 16S ribosomal RNA". It matches the Rfam family "Bacterial small subunit ribosomal RNA", at positions 524 to 776 of the family's 1533-position model. The record is from RNAcentral.